CAGCACCUCAAGUGGUCAGGAUGAUUAUUGGGCCUAAAGCAUCCGUAGCCUGCUUUGUUAGUUUUCGGUUAAAUCCAUAUGCUCAACGUAUGGGCUGCCGGGAAUACUGCAAAGCUAGGGAGUGGGAGAGGUAGACGGUACUCGGUAGGAAGGGGUAAAAUCCUUUGAUCUAUUGAUGACCACCUGUGGCGAAGGCGGUCUACCAGAACACGUCCGACGGUGAGGGAUGAAAGCUGGGGGAGCAAACCGGAUUAGAGACCCGAGUAGUCU
RNAcentral lists this ribosomal RNA (270 nucleotides) under uncultured archaeon. RNAcentral's name for it is "partial 16S ribosomal RNA". It matches the Rfam family "Archaeal small subunit ribosomal RNA", at positions 477 to 747 of the family's 1478-position model. The record is from RNAcentral.